Molecule: ribosomal RNA, 119 nt
Filed under: Musa acuminata subsp. malaccensis (wild Malaysian banana)
Lineage: Eukaryota; Viridiplantae; Streptophyta; Magnoliopsida; Zingiberales; Musaceae
Source: RNAcentral
GGGUAUAAUCAUAUCGGCAUUAAAGCACUGGAUCCCAUUAGAACUCUAAAGUUAAGCAUGCUUGGGCGAAAGUAGUACUAGGAUAGGUGAACCCUAGGGAAGUCCUCAUGUUGUACUCC